GAAACUUAAAGGAAUUGGCGGGGGAGCACUACAACCGGAGGGAGCCUGGGGGUUUAAUUGGACUCAACGCCGGACAUCUCACCAGCCCCGACUGUUCGAAUGAAGCUCAGUGUGAUGAGCUUAGCAGACGAUCAGAGAGGAGGUGCAUGGCCGCCGUCAGCUCGUACCGUGAGGCGUCCUGUUUAGUCAGGCAACGAGCGAGACCCGCAUCCUUAAUUGCCAGCAAGACCCUUGAGGUCGUUGGGUACAUUAGGGAGACUGCCGCCCCCAAGGCGGAGGAAGGAACGGGCAACGGUAGGUCAGUAUGCCCCGAAUGGGCUGGGCUACACGCGGGCUACAAUGGUCAGGACAAUGGGUUCCUACUCCGAAAGGAGACGGUAAUCUCAGAAACCUGGUCGUAGUUCGGAUUGUGGGCUGAAACUCGCCCACAUGAAGCUGGAUUCGGUAGUAAUCGCGUGUCACAAGCGCGCGGUGAAUACGUCCCUGCUCCUUGCACACACCGCCCGUCAAAGCACCCGAGUGAGGUCCGGAUGAGGCCUGGGUUGCCAGGUCGAAUCUGGGCUUCGCAAGGGGGCUUAAGUCGUAACAA
This 589-nucleotide ribosomal RNA is filed under the name uncultured haloarchaeon. Its description in RNAcentral is "bacterial SSU rRNA". It matches the Rfam family "Archaeal small subunit ribosomal RNA", at positions 851 to 1441 of the family's 1478-position model. The record is from RNAcentral. Lineage: Archaea; Methanobacteriati; Methanobacteriota; Halobacteria; Halobacteriales; Halobacteriaceae.